This is a long non-coding RNA of Juglans microcarpa x Juglans regia, 402 nucleotides long. RefSeq lists it as uncharacterized. The transcript is spliced from 3 exons. Lineage: Eukaryota; Viridiplantae; Streptophyta; Magnoliopsida; Fagales; Juglandaceae. The record is from RefSeq and is a predicted model, not a curated record.
AAAGAUACUGCACUGUUUCUGGUGGGGACUGCGAAAUUUGAGUUCUUUGGGUCAAAACCUUCAAGCCAGCACCAAUUUCUGGGAAAACUGCUUUACGAUUUUUAUUUCGAUCUCUGGCUUGCUAUUCUUUUUGUAUUUCAUUGGUAAUGUGCAGUUUUUGUGAGUGGCAGACAUAUAUGCAGUUGACAACUGAAAGGUCCGAGGAAGUUAUACAAAAGAUGAAAAUUAAAGAACGAGACAUAGACUUGUGGAUAGAGAGAAACAGGCUCGAUGAUAAUUUAAGAAGGCAGAUCAAGCCCAACAUACAGCGGAUUUUUGAACAAAAUAUGGAUGUUGAUGCGCAGAAUCCGCUCCCUCAUCUUCCCAUAGAGCUUAUAAAAGAUAUUAAAUGCUAUCUUUGCU